UAUGUAGGCGGAAAUCUAAGUCAGUGGUGAAAUCCCGCAGCUCAACUGUGGAACUGUCAUUGAUACUGGUUUUCUUGAAUAUAGUUGAGGUAGGCGGAAUGUGUAAUGUAGCGGUGAAAUGCUUAGAUAUUACACAGAACACCGAUUGCGAAGGCAGCUUACUAAACUAUGAUUGACGCUGAGGUACGAAAGCGUGGGGAGCGAACAGGAUUAGAUACCCUGGUAGUCC
RNAcentral lists this ribosomal RNA (229 nucleotides) under uncultured bacterium. RNAcentral's name for it is "partial 16S ribosomal RNA". It matches the Rfam family "Bacterial small subunit ribosomal RNA", at positions 568 to 796 of the family's 1533-position model. The record is from RNAcentral.